This 513-nucleotide ribosomal RNA is filed under the name Papilio troilus (spicebush swallowtail). Its description in RNAcentral is "partial LSU rRNA". The stretch from base 386 to 513 matches the Rfam family "Bacterial large subunit ribosomal RNA", at positions 2473 to 2600 of the family's 2925-position model. Lineage: Eukaryota; Metazoa; Arthropoda; Insecta; Lepidoptera; Papilionidae. The record is from RNAcentral.
UUUUUGUAAAUAAUUUAAAGUCUAAUCUGCCCACUGAUAAUUUAUUAAAGGGCUGCAGUAUUUUGACUGUACAAAGGUAGCAUAAUCAUUAGUCUCUUAAUUGGUGACUUGUAUGAAAGAUUGGAUGAAAUAUAAGCUGUCUCUAAUUAAUAAUUAGAAUUUAAUUUUUUAGUUAAAAAGCUAAAAUAUAUUUAAAAGACGAGAAGACCCUAUAGAGUUUUAUAUUUUAUUUGAUUAUUAUUUAUAUGUAAAAUUUUUAAUUAAGAUAAAAUAAAAUAUUUUGUUGGGGUGAUAGAAAAAUUGAUUUAACUUUUUUUAAAAAAUAAACAUUAAUUUAUGAUUAUAUGAUCCAUUAAUAAUGAUUAAAAGAAAAAAUUACCUUAGGGAUAACAGCGUAAUUUUUUUUUUUAGUACAAAUAGGAAAAAAAGUUUGCGACCUCGAUGUUGGAUUAAGAUAAAAUUUAGACUGCAAAAGUUUAAAAUUUUGAUCUGUUCGAUCAUUAAAAUCUUACA